UCCUGCUGCAUCCCUAAUGUGAAAGCACAUUGACCAUUAAUAUGGUCACCACCACAUUGAUCGCAAAGUUGUUGAGCUUGGGAAAUAUUUCUGAGCCCCCAAGGAAGUUCAGAGACCACCUUUAGUAACUUGUCCAAUUUCUGACUGAGGAGGUGAUUUUGUACUGCUGCUGCAUCUUCAGUGGGAAGAUGUAACAGUCCUCCUUUUUGC
This 210-nucleotide long non-coding RNA is filed under the name Vigna radiata. RNAcentral's name for it is "long non-coding RNA (VRAD_LNC018597)". The record is from RNAcentral. Lineage: Eukaryota; Viridiplantae; Streptophyta; Magnoliopsida; Fabales; Fabaceae.